CCUACGGGUGGCAGCAGUGGGGAAUAUUGCACAAUGGAGGAAACCCUGAUGCAGCAACGCCGCGUGAGUGAUGACGGCCUUCGGGGUGUAAAGCUCUGUCUUCAGGGACGAUAAUGACGGUACCUGAGGAGGGAGCCACGGCUAACUACGAUCCAGCAGCCGCGGUAAUACGUAGGUGGCGGGCGUUGUCCGGAUUUACUGGGCGUAAAGGGAGCGUAGGCGGAUUUUUAAGUGAGAUGUGAAAUACUCGGGCUCAACUUGAGUGCUGCAUUUCAAACUGGAAGUCUAGAGUGCAGUAGAGGAGAAUGGAAUGCAUAGUGUAGCGGUGAAAUGCGUAGAGAUUAGGAAGAACACCAGUGGCGAAGGCGAUUCUCUGGACUGUAUCUGACGCUGAGGCUCGAAAGCGUGGGGAGCAAACAGGAUUAGAUACCCGUGUAGUC
RNAcentral lists this ribosomal RNA (440 nucleotides) under uncultured bacterium. RNAcentral's name for it is "partial 16S ribosomal RNA". It matches the Rfam family "Bacterial small subunit ribosomal RNA", at positions 338 to 795 of the family's 1533-position model. The record is from RNAcentral.